CAUCAUACUUGCAGUUGUCUUGCAGGUGCUUAAACAAGACUCUUGGCCUUUCACCCAGCACUAUCAGCUUCCUUCUUUUAUUGCACAAUGUUUACCAUUUCUUUGCCUAGCCUUACUGUUUUAACAGAGUGCUUUUGAAGGAAAACUUAAGAAAUUGUUCAAAUACCUACUUGCCACAAGGCAAACAAACACUGAGCUUCAUGUUUGUUCCAGGAGAGCCUCCCAGAGGCAGUUUUGUCAUGAAACUAGAUGCCAUCAGUCUCUGGGGGAAUGUGAUGGUGACUUGCUUACUUUGGCAUGUCACGUGUCAUCUGCACUGUGGCUUUUAUUUUUUGUCAUUGCUUCUUGUAUUUGUGCCAAAGUACUACUGAUACAGGCAUCAGAUAGAUUGCACACUGCAGUUACCUCCUAUUCACACAUGAGUGAAGGCAGUUGGAAAGGAAUUGUCUCCAUUAAGCAAGGAUGAUUUCAGCUGUGAGAAUCCUUGGUAUCCAGACUCAGCCUGCAAUUCAAUCAAGACCCUUUACCUGUACCUCUGCAAGUUAAGAGAUGUUUGGAGCUGAUCAAAGUAAAAGCUGAUGUACAGAUCUGCAAGUUUAUUCAUUAGUAACAUCUAUAUGUUUGUAAUUAAUAUAUAUAUUUGCCUUUCAUUUUGUAUAUUAUACUGGUAAUAUUACAAAUUGUGGAGUGGGUUUUGUGUGUGUGUGUGUGUUUUUUUUGUUAUUUGGUUUUUUGCAUAUUUUAUUUUAUUUUGUCACUCAACCACGUGUGUUAUAAAUAUUUGGAAUUUUCAGGUGAAACUUUCUGAUUAAUGUCAAUCGCUGGCAAAGGCUCCAACUACGUAUGACCAACGUAUUGUAUUCCUAAUCUCUUCAGAACAAAGGGUCUUGUUCCUUUCUAAAUGUGGUAGUGCACAGGGGAAUGACAUCAAUUAUCUUAAUCAACAUUUCAUAUCCAACAGAACAAGGUUAUUACCAAAGGAAAUUGGUUUUAUUUAAAGAGACAUGCCUGAAUAUUUAAUGUCAAUACUUUCCUCUUGAUUCUCUACUGUUUGUAUAAAAUAUGUGAAGUGCAGUUGUAAAAACAACACGCAAAGAUGUUUUGUGGAAUAAAUGAAAUAAUAAAUGCA
This 1129-nucleotide long non-coding RNA is filed under the name Coturnix japonica (Japanese quail). RNAcentral's name for it is "lncRNA (ENSCJPG00005011867.1)". The record is from RNAcentral. Lineage: Eukaryota; Metazoa; Chordata; Aves; Galliformes; Phasianidae.